RNAcentral lists this transfer RNA (73 nucleotides) under Rhizophagus irregularis DAOM 181602=DAOM 197198. RNAcentral describes it as "tRNA-Phe (GAA) (tRNA-Phe-GAA-1-1, tRNA-Phe-GAA-1-2)". It matches the Rfam family "tRNA". From Rfam's summary of the family: Transfer RNA (tRNA) molecules are approximately 80 nucleotides in length. Their secondary structure includes four short double-helical elements and three loops (D, anti-codon, and T loops). Lineage: Eukaryota; Fungi; Glomeromycota; Glomeromycetes; Glomerales; Glomeraceae. The record is from RNAcentral.
GCGAGUUUAGCUCAGUUGGGAGAGCGUCAGACUGAAGAUCUGAAGGCCGGGUGUUCAAUCCACCCAACUCGCA